Molecule: ribosomal RNA, 497 nt
Filed under: uncultured bacterium
Lineage: Bacteria
Description: partial 16S ribosomal RNA
Rfam family: Bacterial small subunit ribosomal RNA
Source: RNAcentral
GAUGAACGCUGGCGGCGUGCCUAAUACAUGCCAGUCGAGCGAACGGACGAGAAGCUUGCUUUUCUGAUGUUAGCGGCGGACGGGUGAGUAACACGUGGAUAACCUACCUAUAAGACUGGGAUAACUUCGGGAAACCGGAGCUAAUACCGGAUAAUAUUUUGAACCGCAUGGUUCAAAAGUGAAAGACGGCCUUGCUGUCACUUAUAGAUGGAUCCGCGCUGCAUUAGCUAGUUGGUAAGGUAACGGCUUACCAAGGCAACGAUGCAUAGCCGACCUGAGAGGGUGAUCGGCCACACUGGAACUGAGACACGGUCCAGACUCCUACGGGAGGCAGCAGUAGGGAAUCUUCCGCAAUGGGCGAAAGCCUGACGGAGCAACGCCGCGUGAGUGAUGAAGGUCUUCGGAUCGUAAAACUCUGUUAUUAGGGAAGAACAUAUGUGUAAGUAACUGUGCACAUCUUGACGGUACCUAAUCAGAAAGCCACGGCUAACUACGUG